CCAAUAGCGUAUAUUAAAGUUGUUGCAGUUAAAAAGCUCGUAGUUGAAUUUCGGGAUCAGAUUGUCGGUCGUGCCUCGGUACGCACUGGCAUUAUUGGUUCCUACCUUCUGAAGAACCGCGAUGUCAUUAAUUUGGUGUCGUGGGGAAUCAGGACUGUUACUUUGAAAAAAUUAGAGUGUUUAAAGCAGGCGCACGCUUGAAUACAUUAGCAUGGAAUAAUGAAAUAGGACGUUUGAUUCUAUUUUGUUGGUUUCUAGGAUCGACGUAUUGAUUAAUAGGGAUAGUUGGGGGCAUUAGUAUUCAAUUGUAAGAGGUGAAAUUCUUGGAUUUAUUGAAGACUAACUACUGCGAAAGCAUUUGCCAAGGAUGUUUUCAUUAAUCAAGAACGAAAGUUAGGGGAUCGAAGACGAUCAGAUACCGUCGUAGUCUUAACCAUAAACUAUGCCGACUAGGGAUCGGAUGAUGUUGAUUUUAUAAUGACUCAUUCGGCGCCUUACG
RNAcentral lists this ribosomal RNA (499 nucleotides) under uncultured Glomus. RNAcentral's name for it is "SSU rRNA". It matches the Rfam family "Eukaryotic small subunit ribosomal RNA", at positions 591 to 1092 of the family's 1831-position model. Lineage: Eukaryota; Fungi; Glomeromycota; Glomeromycetes; Glomerales; Glomeraceae. The record is from RNAcentral.